RNAcentral lists this ribosomal RNA (497 nucleotides) under uncultured bacterium. RNAcentral's name for it is "partial 16S ribosomal RNA". It matches the Rfam family "Bacterial small subunit ribosomal RNA", at positions 28 to 507 of the family's 1533-position model. The record is from RNAcentral.
GACGAACGCUGGCGGCGUGCCUAAUACAUGCAAGUAGAACGCUGAAGAGAGGAGCUUGCUCUUCUUGGAUGAGUUGCGAACGGGUGAGUAACGCGUAGGUAACCUGCCUUGUAGCGGGGGAUAACUAUUGGAAACGAUAGCUAAUACCGCAUAACAAUGGAUGACACAUGUCAUUUAUUUGAAAGGGGCAAUUGCUCCACUACAAGAUGGACCUGCGUUGUAUUAGCUAGUAGGUGAGGUAAUGGCUCACCUAGGCGACGAUACAUAGCCGACCUGAGAGGGUGAUCGGCCACCCUGGGACUGAGACACGGCCCAGACUCCUACGGGAGGCAGCAGUAGGGAAUCCUCGGCAAUGGGGGCAACCCUGACCGAGCAACGCCGCGUGAGUGAAGAAGGUUUUCGGAUCGUAAAGCUCGGUUGUAAGUCAAGAACGGGUGUGAGAGUGGAAAGUUCACACUGUGACGGUAGCUGACCAGAAAGGGACGGCUAACUACGUG